Molecule: ribosomal RNA, 253 nt
Filed under: uncultured Brevundimonas sp.
Lineage: Bacteria; Pseudomonadati; Pseudomonadota; Alphaproteobacteria; Caulobacterales; Caulobacteraceae
Description: partial 16S ribosomal RNA
Rfam family: Bacterial small subunit ribosomal RNA
Source: RNAcentral
UACGAAGGGGGCUAGCGUUGCUCGGAAUUACUGGGCGUAAAGGGAGCGUAGGCGGACAUUUAAGUCAGGGGUGAAAUCCCAGAGCUCAACUCUGGAACUGCCUUUGAUACUGGAUGUCUUGAGUGUGAGAGAGGUGAGUGGAACUCCGAGUGUAGAGGUGAAAUUCGUAGAUAUUCGGAAGAACACCAGUGGCGAAGGCGACUCACUGGCUCAUUACUGACGCUGAGGCUCGAAAGCGUGGGGAGCAAACAGG